UGAGGAAUAUUGGACAAUGGGUGAGAGCCUGAUCCAGCCAUCCCGCGUGAAGGACGACGGCCCUAUGGGUUGUAAACUUCUUUUGUAUAGGGAUAAACCUUUCCACGUGUGGAAAGCUGAAGGUACUAUACGAAUAAGCACCGGAUAACUCCGUGCCAGCAGCCGCGGUAAUACGGAGGGUGCAAGCGUUAUCCGGAUUUAUUGGGUUUAAAGGGUCCGUAGGCGGAUCUGUAAGUCAGUGGUGAAAUCUCACAGCUUAACUGUGAAACUGCCAUUGAUACUGCAGGUCUUGAGUAAGGUAGAAGUAGCUGGAAUAAGUAGUGUAGCGGUGAAAUGCAUAGAUAUUACUUAGAACACCAAUUGCGAAGGCAGGUUACUAUGUCUUAACUGACGCUGAUGGACGAAAGCGUGGGGAGCGAACA
This 422-nucleotide ribosomal RNA is filed under the name uncultured bacterium. RNAcentral's name for it is "bacterial SSU rRNA". It matches the Rfam family "Bacterial small subunit ribosomal RNA", at positions 355 to 774 of the family's 1533-position model. The record is from RNAcentral.